This is a long non-coding RNA of Onychostoma macrolepis, 1640 nucleotides long. RefSeq lists it as uncharacterized. The transcript has 5 exons. Lineage: Eukaryota; Metazoa; Chordata; Actinopteri; Cypriniformes; Cyprinidae. The record is from RefSeq and is a predicted model, not a curated record.
UUGAUACUUCAGCUACUUCGGCUGUAUGACGCAGAUUUCAAAAAGUUGAUGCUGAUGAGGGGUGAUAUCGUGCCUGCGUGUUUCUGUUUUCGCGCACUUUUGUGUGGUUGUCGAUGCUAACGUGAAGGACGAGUGGCGUCGUGCUUGAUCGAUCCAGCUUUUCUAUAAAAUUAACGUGUUUCUGAUGUUGUGCACAUUGAGUUCUUUUCAAAGCUGACGUGCCAGAUAAAUCCAGCUUUUCUAUAAAAUCACUGGUGAGUGACAUUACCAAACAUCGUAAAACAACGGCUCUUGAGGGAUUGCUACUUUUCCUGCUUGAGAAGUCAGCAAAUUUGCUCAAGAUAUGCCUGGAUACGAAUUCUGUGAACUGCUGCACCAAAGGUGUAAAGAUUGGAAUUCUGACUGUGGAGGAAGAUGAUGUUGCCGGUGUUACAUCGCAGCCCACUGUUAUCAACAUGGCCAUAAUCUUGGAGGAGGCCAUUGUGCUUGAGGACAUUAAAGAUCUUCCAUCUGCAUUUGCAUAUUUGUUUGGCCUCUUAUAUGCAUUUAACAUGGAAUAUCUGAAAGAAUUGAAGUACACUUUUGAAGUCAUCAUGGAUCUAGGUGGUACCUGCUCAGCUAGAGUGCAGUCAUUGAAAUCCAAACUUUGCUAAAUGGAUGAAGCCACUUAAAUGACGUUCUUGCGUUGGCUUUUUUAAUACUUUUAUACUUAAUGACUACAAAAAACACCUGUUUUCAUUCAGUGUGCUAAUUACUGCUAAGGUUUUUGUUUAUUUGUUUGUUUGAUUGUUUCAGCCUUUGCCUUAAAGGGAAAAUUCACCCAAAAAUGAAAGUUCAUUAUUUACUCACUCUCAUGUUGUUCCAGACCUGUGAUUUUCUUUCUUUUUCUUGAACACAGAAGAAGAUAUUGUGAAGAAAGCUGACAACUAAAGGGUUGACUGUCAUAAUAUUUUAAUCCUGUGGCAGCCAGUCAGUGACUACCUUCAACUGAUCGGUUAUCAGCAUUCUUCACAAUAUCAUCUUCUGUGAUCAAAAGAAGAAAGAAAGUCAGGUUUAGAAAAACUCCAGUUGUAAAUUAGAGUAAAUGAUGAAAAAACUUUCAUUUUUGGGUGAACGAUCUCUUCAGGCUGGAGUUUCUCCUAGUGUUUUUUUUUUUUUUUUUCCUGGACAAAGUAAUUGUAUUUUAUUUCUGUGUAGACACUCUACUUCCAAAGAUCUGGGUCAAGAUUCGAUUACAGGCAUAUCAGUGUAUGUUCUGACAAGAAAAAAGUACAGUGUACUUAUAGCUGCUGAGUAGGGUUUGUAGUGUACUCGGAUGCUUUAUUUUUUCUUAUAUAUAUAAUGGCAAAUUGUUUUUGAGGAACAUUUAGGUUGAUGUUAAAAUAUGCAGAAUAGAAGUUUUCACAUAAUUGUUACUUUAAAAAUCUACCAAAAAUGUUAAGUACAUUUGCAAAUGUGCCUCAUGUCACAGGACAGCUAACAUUGUAUGGUAUAAUUAACACCGGUUUUGUGGAUUUCUUUAACAUUCAAUGCAUUGAAUUCAGUGUAUAAUGUUAAGAAGUUAAAAGGCAAUAUUUGAUACUGUUAUGUCAUUGCUGUGCAUUGGACACAGAAUGUUUAAAUAAAAAAAAAUUAUUUGA